This 380-nucleotide long non-coding RNA is filed under the name Mytilus galloprovincialis (Mediterranean mussel). The record is from RNAcentral. Lineage: Eukaryota; Metazoa; Mollusca; Bivalvia; Mytilida; Mytilidae.
GAUGAAUGUGGUAAAGGGUUUAGUCAGCAUAGUAGUUUACAGACUCAUAUGAGAACACACACAGGUGAUAAACCUCAUAAGUGUGAUGUAUGUGGUAAAGAUUUUAGAUUGCUGGCUCAUUUAAGAAGACACAUGAGAACACAUACAGGAGAUAAACCUCAUAACUGUGGUGUAUGUGGUAAACGGUUUAGUCAGUCUGGUACUUUACAGACACACAUGAGAACACACACGGGUGAAAGACCCCAUAACUGUAAUGAAUGUGGUAAAGAUUUUAAAUUGCUUGGUAAUUUGAGAAAACACACGAGAAUACAUACUGGAGAUAAACCUCAUCACUGUGAUGUAUGUGGUAAAGGAUUUAUUCAACAUGCUUCUUUACAGAG